UGCUCGACGAUCGCGAUGUCGUUGAAGUCGCUGAGGUCGCCUCCUUGCCCGGCGCGCCCGAUCUCUUUCCUUGUUUGUUUAUUUGCGCGCGAGACUCGUGUCGAGAUCGAUAUCGCUGUGGAUUUAUCGCGCGUCACUCCAAGGGGGAUAUCGCUUUGACCAAAAAGAAGAGGAAGAAAGAUCGAUGGGAGACGACGCAGCCCGCGGACUUCAGCCACAGCAUCAAUGAUCUCGGGCGUGACUGACAGACAACAACGAUGUGAGAUCAUCCACGAGCGUCACAGUGAGAGAUUGUUUAUAACGCUGUCGCAAUUAAGUUUUCAGACCGUAGCACUAGUGAAUCAAUCAUAUAGGUAUCUAUUUCCUUCGAGCGAACUCAUGAGGAGUGAAAAGUUUUAUCGAGUUUGUCAAUGAAACUUUUCAUUCUCUUCACGAAAUUUACGCGAAGGAAACAGACACAUGAUCGAUGCGCAGACUAGUUCUACCUGAGAACGUAACUGCGAGCGCAUUGUAGACGAUCCCUGCGAGUCACCGAUGUUGACUCGCCCGAGGGAAACGCACGGAGGAAAUUGGCACUCGACGUCGACGCGUUUGAUUCGGCGAAAGGUAGGUCCACCACCGUAGACGCAGUAAUUCCCGACGAAUUCGUUUAAUGAGUCAGACGUCGUGGGCGAUGAUCUCUUCUUUUUCCCCAUAGAGUGACUUCACUCGCACGCAAUGAGCCUCCGUGGAAAUUAUGACACGUAACUGCACGAUCGACCUUGACCGUCGGGUCACCGAGUCAUCGAAAUUCCAACGAAUUGGAUUAAUUUACAUCGCGCUCAAAUAAUCGGAACAGCGAUAAGUAGACAAUCGUAUCGCUGUCCGAUAUCGGCGCUCUAUUCUUCUUUGUUGCGGAGAUAUCGAAAUUAAAAAUAAGAUACGCAAAAACAACGAACAAUCCGACAAUCUGAACGACGGCGGUGUUCCGUAAAAAAACCCAAUUUCCCUCGCGUUCCGCUUAUCUGCGCGAACACGAAGGUGUCGCAUGACUCGUACUUCGUCAUAAAAAAAUAAUAAUCUCUUCUACGUAUUAUGUGAGUCGUCUCUUCGCUUGCAGCCCGCCCGUAAACGAUCUUCCUCGUCGAUCCAUAGGUACUGCUUAUCGCGCUCCUGUAUCGUAUAACUUUUUUUUACGGUGCAAUUAACGUUUGACGUUAGGUUGCGUCGUUGCGCGUUGAUUAAACAGGCUCCUGCGAGGAUGCACCGGCAGCUUCCGUUCUAACGAAACACCAUACGGUAGCUCGUAUCGACAAGUAAGAUGUCCGGAUGACCUUAGCGGACACAAAAUUUCAUCGUGUCUGCCCGACCGAUCGUUGGCGCGCGCAAUCACACCCAUGCGAGAAUAUAUCGAGGCGUAAAUAUUUAUCAACAAUAUUUGUAUCAACUUACAUUCUAAGUGAGCGAUUCUAGGCACGCGGACGUAACAAAAAUACUCGUUUCGUGGAUCUCCGUCGGUUCGCUUUUACGCAACGUUAGGAUGGGAGAAGUGAUACUACGUGCUGCAAGAGGAUUGUCGUUGAUACAAGGACGGACUGGAUGAAGGCUGGAGGAUCAUCGGUAUCAUUUGUCUCAACUGGAAAGAUCGAGAAAAAGAAUAUAUAAACAUUAUAUAUUUUGUAUCAUCAAUAAAUUUAUAAUAAGCAUCGUGAGAAGCAUCGUAACAAGGCUUAACAUCGUGAGAACACGUCCAUAAAACGAAAUUUUCUUUUUUUUUACGAGAGAAGGCCACCUGUAUGAAUACUGGUCGUUAAUCAUUGUGCGCUUCGAUAAUUAAGUCUCAAAAGUGAUAUGUUCUUUGCUCCCAAUUUACACAGACGAUAUACGUGUUUAUAUAUGUAUGUGUGUGUGUGUUUGUGUGUCUGUGUGUGUACACAUAUAUAUAUAUAUAUAGAUAUAUAUAUUAAAAAUUACAUUAUUCACAAUCACGUUUGUUCCAGAGCUUUACAACCCAUACAUUCUUCAGCAUGUGUGACUUAUCCUAAGAGAGGCAUCGACAAUAAGAACAACACCUGGUCUCCUCCCACCUUUGGUACAACGCUAUCAUUGUGGAGCUUUCGUGGAGUUGUCAGAGGAGUCCGCACUUGGCAUAAGUAAAGCUAUUGCAAAUAUUGGAGAAAGUGUCACUCGCACGAGCCUGCUCGACCGACGAAUAUCUACAGCGUUCUUUUACAAGAAGACACAGAGAUUUCGGGUGUGCGUAGGACUACAAGCACGCGAAGAAACACGAUUCUCGGAGAAUCAUGAAACGGAGAACCAUCCUUUAAACGGUAUGACGCGCUAAACAAUAUUGCUCUGCGAUAACUUUCAUAUUGUACAAUGCUAGUCUCACUUACCUACG
Long non-coding RNA from Odontomachus brunneus, 2380 nucleotides. RefSeq lists it as uncharacterized. The record is from RefSeq and is a predicted model, not a curated record. The transcript has 3 exons. Lineage: Eukaryota; Metazoa; Arthropoda; Insecta; Hymenoptera; Formicidae.